UACAGAGGGUGCAAGCGUUACUCGGAAUUACUGGGCGUAAAGCGUGCGUAGGUGGUGAGUUAAGUCUGUCGUGAAAGCCCCGGGCUCAACCUGGGAAUGGCGAUGGAUACUGGCUCGCUAGAGUGCGGUAGAGGAGAGUGGAAUUCCCGGUGUAGCAGUGAAAUGCGUAGAGAUCGGGAGGAACAUCAGUUGCGAAGGCGGCUCUCUGGACCAGCACUGACACUGAGGCACGAAAGCGUGGGGAGCAAACAGG
RNAcentral lists this ribosomal RNA (253 nucleotides) under uncultured bacterium. Its description in RNAcentral is "partial 16S ribosomal RNA". It matches the Rfam family "Bacterial small subunit ribosomal RNA", at positions 524 to 776 of the family's 1533-position model. The record is from RNAcentral.